Molecule: ribosomal RNA, 505 nt
Filed under: uncultured bacterium
Lineage: Bacteria
Description: partial 16S ribosomal RNA
Rfam family: Bacterial small subunit ribosomal RNA
Source: RNAcentral
AACGAACGCUGGCGGCGUGCUUAACACAUGCAAGUCGAACGCGAAAGUUUCUUUCGGGAAAUGAGUAGAGUGGCGCACGGGUGAGUAACGCGUAAGUAAUCUACCCUGGUAUCUGGAAUAACUCAUCGAAAGGUGUGCUAAUACCGGAUACGCUGAGUAAUCAGGAAAGGAGGCCUCUGCAUAUGCUUCCGUACCAGGAUGAGCUUGCGUACCAUUAGCUAGUUGGUAGGGUAAUGGCCUACCAAGGCGACGAUGGUUAGCGGGUCUGAGAGGAUGACCCGCCACACUGGAACUGAAACACGGACCAGACUACUACGGGAGGCAGCAGUGAGGAAUAUUGCGCAAUGGGGGCAGCCCUGACGAAGCGACGCAGCGUGGAUGGUGAAGGCCUUCGGGUCGUAAAAUCCUGUCAGAUGGAAAGAAUGGCCUUUGUGCUAAUAUCACAGAGGAUUGACGGUACCAUCAAAGGAAGCACCGGCUAACUCCGUGCCAGCCGCCGCAGUAA